UGGGCGAAAGCCUGAUGCAGCAACGCCGCGUGUGCGAAGAAGGCCUUCGGGUCGUAAAGCACUUUUCUGAGAGAUGAGAAAGGACAGUAUCUCAGGAAUAAGUCUCGGCUAACUACGUGCCAGCAGCCGCGGUAAAACGUAGGAGGCGAGCGUUAUCCGGAUUCACUGGGCGUAAAGCGCGUGCAGGCGGUUCGGUAAGUUGGGCGUGAAAUCUCCUGGCUCAACUAGGAGAGGUCGUUCAAUACUACCGGACUUGAGAGCGGUAGAGGAAGAUGGAAUUCCCGGUGUAGUGGUGAAACGCGUAGAUAUCGGGAGGAACACCAGUGGCGAAGGCGAUCUUCUGGACCGUUUCUGACGCUCAGACGCGACAGCUAGGGGAGUGAACGGGAUUAGAAACCCCGGUAAUCCUAGCUGUAAACGAUGUCGACUUGGCGUGGGUGGGGUAAAAGCCAUCCGUGCCGAAGCUAACGCGAUAAGUCGACCGCCUGGGGACUACGGCCGCAAGGUUA
RNAcentral lists this ribosomal RNA (509 nucleotides) under uncultured Chloroflexota bacterium. RNAcentral describes it as "bacterial SSU rRNA". It matches the Rfam family "Bacterial small subunit ribosomal RNA", at positions 372 to 896 of the family's 1533-position model. Lineage: Bacteria; Bacillati; Chloroflexota. The record is from RNAcentral.